GUUGCUUUUUAAUGGUGAACCCCUUCAUAAAACCAAAUGAGGGAUGUUCAAGUUUCCGAAGCAUAGAUCGAAAGUCAGUAUUAAACAGCAUGGUGCAUUUCCAGUUGCACAUUGCUACCUGUCUCCUGCAACAAUU
Molecule: small nucleolar RNA, 136 nt
Filed under: Ipomoea nil (Japanese morning glory)
Lineage: Eukaryota; Viridiplantae; Streptophyta; Magnoliopsida; Solanales; Convolvulaceae
Description: small nucleolar RNA snoR137
Rfam family: small nucleolar RNA snoR137
Source: Rfam by way of RNAcentral